RNAcentral lists this long non-coding RNA (5101 nucleotides) under Sus scrofa (pig). Its description in RNAcentral is "lncRNA (ENSSSCG00025077722.1)". Lineage: Eukaryota; Metazoa; Chordata; Mammalia; Artiodactyla; Suidae. The record is from RNAcentral.
UAAACAUUUUUCAUUGGAGAUUUCUAGUAGUAUUUAAAAUUGGAGAUGGAUUGUGCCAAAUCUUCCCUUAGCGGGCUCUAGGUUUUAUUGCUUUUGUGUCUUGUCUAGUUCCAGACAUCCAAUCUGUACUGGCAAAGCUGCCUGAUGAGGAGAGGCCACCAACAUCGCUGCCCUGACUGCUUACAUACCUGCCAUGAAUAAUAGACUUGUCAGCUAGUUAAUCACUGCAUUGUAACUGUCUCUGUUCCUUCUUAGCUGAUCACUUCCCAGAGGAGUUUAAGUUCCAUUGUAACAGGAAACUUCUAUUAUGUUUCCAUACCUGCAUUUAUUUGUAUGCAAAAGCAUUCAUUCUUCUUUUUUCAUAUGACAGUAAAUAAGACAUGCCCCACUUUUUUGACAGUUCUUAAAUUACGUAAUAAACAAUGUAUUCUUUUUUCCUUUGUUUAUCCUGUUCUUCAGCCUCUCAUCAGUUUACUUCUGCAUAUGAGCCAAUUACAUUUUAUUCAUUAGUUAUAAGAUUUGGAAAUACUAACACCUACCUCACAAUCCACAGUUCUGUAAGUUUUUGGUUGAGAUUAUAGUUAUUUGGGGUAAGUAUUGUAAGAGAUCGUCAUAAUUUCCUCAAAAUGUCUAUGAACAAAGGAGAUAGACUGAAGCCCAAAAUAGUCUCUCAAAGGCCUUUGCUUAGUGUUUUGUUCUUUGAUCCUAGAAAUGAGGACAACUGAUUCAACCUUACACAGUUAGGCUCUUUAGUUUCAGGGAGUUAUGAGAUUUUAAACUUGAUGCUUGAAUUAACACUGACAAUAAUCGGCUGAUAAUCUUUGAAGAAUCUUAACCUUACAGAAAAUUAGUGUUAGACUAUCUCUUAUCCAACAGAAAAAAAAAUAAAUAUAAAUUUAUUUUUUAAAGGGCUUAAAAUAUAUACAUUUCCUGUUUUGGUACCUAUAAUUAGACUAUGUCUUCUCUCUAAAUGACUUUUUAGCACCUUUGGAAACUGCAUUCUCUUCUUUAAGCCUAUAGUUAUUUCAUUCUGCAACUGCAAGUAAUUGAGGGCUUACUUGUUUGAAAAUAUUAAUGCAGCUUCCAAAGUUGCUUAAUGCAUAACUAAGUACUGGUAGAAUGUUCAGUUCUUUUAAAUGGAUUCAUUUGCUAUAUGUUUCCUUUGGAAGUUUCUGUUUAUAAUUGAUUAAACUAUGCUCAUGAAACACACUGAUAAAUAGAGCAAUCUAAAGAUACCAAGAAAAGCCAUGAACAUUGUCCAAGAUAUGUAGGGAAUUUGUAUUUCUUGACUAAAUGCUACAUCCAUUCUUCCUCCUUAUCAACCAUUCCUCCAAAUAUCCAGGUUGCUUUUUUGUAUCCUUUAGUGAUGACAAGAUGUUUUUCAUUCCUCUAAUGAAGUGGGAAGCAGAUUAACAUUUUUUCUUCUCAGGAAUUAGAUUACUUAUUGUAGUACUGCUCAAUAUAUCCUUGUAAUACUCACCGACCCCUACCCACAACUAAUUAGUGACUUUCAGAAUUAGGGAAAAUCUAAGUUGUGUGGUGGCUCUAUAUUUAUCAGUGAUCAAGGAAGUGUUACUAAUACACUUGUUGGUGUUAAAAAAGAAUUAAGUAAAUAAAGGGCCAGAUGGUCGAGCCCAGGACCUAUCAAGAGCCCAGUAUGUGUGGGCUGGUCCAACGGAAUGACAGAAACAUUACCAGGCUAAGUGGAAUCAGAAUUAGGCUUAUACUUAUAAGAAAAAGAAUGUUUUUCUAAUGUGUUCUUAUGAUACCGUAAUUUAUAUGUUCAGAUCUCAUUUGUACGAGUAACAUUUGAGUGCAUGUGUUUCCCUGUGCAUCAAAAGCCAACAGUGUUUACAUGUAUCAGAAAAAUCUCUUGGAACAGAAUAUAGUGGCAUCAAAGUAAGUUACCAUGUAAGCACUUUUUUUUUUCUGGUUCAGAAAAGAAUUCUUCUUUGUUCUCUCAGACAAAUCUAUGUUUUUAUUAUUAUAACUCAACUAUUACACUUUAUUAUAAUUGUAUAUCUGUCUCUUCCAAUAGACUCUAUGGCUCAUGAUAUGAGAAACCUUGUUAUGUAGUGUUUGCUAUAUUGCUUGGCCAGAUGAGGAUCUAGUAAAUAUUCUUUUUUUUUAAUAUAAACAUACUCUUUAUUGUAAAUUCCACAAAGCCUUUUGAUUCUCAUAGAAUAUUUUAAUUGACUUUUUAAAAAUUAUUUUAUCUGUAGAGAAUCUUAUUGUUGCAACUGAUAGAUAAAGGCAAUUCCAUCAUGAAUACUGGUUGACAUUUUCUUUGCAUUAAAGAGAAAGAUGAAAGUAAAAAAAUGGGGAUGUAUGGCAGAAAUACAUUCUUUUAUCAAGGACAUGAGAAACGUCAUUGUUGAACCAGAUAAUAAUUUUGAAUAGUUUCAAAAAUAUAUUUCUUCAACUAUUUGCACUUACUGAUGUGACAACUAUAGAAUGACACACACAUUUAAAGUUCAUUAUUAUUAUUUUCUCUGUUACUUAAAAAAAGUCUAGACAAUCAACAAGGACAUCUAUAUCUUUAGUACAGAGUGGUGGUAGUGUAUGUAUAAAGGUUAGAGUAUCUGCCUUCCCAAAUUUGAGAUCACCGUUUUGGGAUGAAUCACCCAGAAUAGAAAGCUAGUUAUAUAACAUAUAUCCUGGAUCUUCUAAAGGAUUGAGAAGAAGAUACACAAUGGUCAGUGCUUUGAAAUUUGCUCUUGCCAUAUUCUAUUCUUUGCUUGGACAAAUGGAUUUACUAAGUUGUAGCCCAAACAUGCUUGACUUGAAUUAAAAGGACUAGAAUCCUGGGAGUUCCUGUUGUGGCCCAGUAGAAAUGAAUCUGGCUAGUAUCCAUGAGGAUAGGGAUUCAAUCCAUGGCCUUAUUCAGUUGGUUGUAGGUACGGCAUUGCCGCAUUGCCGUGAGCUGUGGUGUAGGUCCCAGACAUGGCUUGGAUCCCAUGUUGCUGUGGCUGUGGUGUAGGCUGGCAGCUGAAGCUCUGAUUUGACCCCUAGCCCGGGAACUUCAAUGAGGAUCUACAAAUUUCCUUCCUUUCCUAUGAGCUAAUUGUCUUUACAUUAUAGAAACAGCUAGACUACCCACUCUAGUUUCCAUCACUCUAAUUUUUUGUCUAUUUUAUUUUAUCUUAUAGCUAUGUACUUUUGGAAGCUCUUUUAAAUCUUUUUGGUUUCUGGAAAAGAUACAUAAAUCAGUGAAUUACUGGGUAGGUAAAUUGACUAAGUAGAGUCAAUGUUUCUUAAUUCUGGUGUGGAUUAAGAAAUUUGGUCUAUAAUGGAGGAGUUAUCUUUAAUGGCCUGCCUUCUUAAUAGAGGAUUGCUUCUAGAUUAAAUGCAGCAGGCAAAAUUAUUUCAGAUUAUAUCUUAAAGGGUGGGUGACCCUGGGAUGAAGAUACAUGAAGCAAUCUUUGCUUACUAGGUAAGUCAUUUAGAAAACAAUUUUGUAAAUUUAGCUUAUAAUAUAUGAUAUUGGUCUUCUCUAUAAGUAUUUUCAAAUCUCAGAUUGAAAAAUCAUGGGAAUUUAUAGUAUUUUUCAAAUUAUAAAAAUUAUUUCUUUAAAGAUUGUUUAUUAAUAGGCCAGAGUUUGAGUUUAUCUGUGAAUUUGGUAGUAGUAGUAGUAGUGACGAACGAGCAGGUGAUGGAAACAUAUAUUUUUCCCUUCCUCUCUUUGGAUAUGUGUGUGGAAUAUUUUUGUCUUCCAAUCAGAUUGUUCAUUAUGCUCCCUUUGGAAGUGUGUAUUGUUUGGCCUUCCAGCCUUACAUGCUCAUUCAAAGGCAUUCCAAGUCAUUAUGCUGGACUUCAGCCUUGUUCAGUAAAAAGGCUAUUUCCUCCAUCAGCUGUCCACUUGGACAUACAUUCUUUUUACUCUCAAAAAGACUUUAUGUGCAUUCAGAGAAUAUUAGAUGGAUUUGUCAAAUUCCUCACAGAUAAUCAGUUUUUUAAAGUUAUAAUUUGAGCUAUGACCUCUCAAACUGUGAAUUAUAAGGUUUGACAUUUUGGUUCACUGUUUGACACAUCAGCCAUUAAUUAUAGUUUUUAAAGGACAUUUUAUUUCGGUUAGAAUUUAUGUUAUGAAAAUAGUUUAAGUAUUUUUCCUUUAACUUUCAGGAAUAAAUGUACAUAUGUAAUAUGUACAUUCAGGUAUAGCAAAUAGCUAGCUUGCGUAUGCAUCCUAUAUUCAAAUAUAUUUAUACAUGUUUGUCUAUUAUGCCUGUUAUACAUAUCCAUAGAGAUUUUUAUAUAAUAACCUAUGAAUUAACACUAAGAUCAUACUUCAGUAACUCUGGUGUCAGAAUGAGACUGACUUUUAAAAUAAUGUUUAUCGGGGUGAAAAGAACUUUAUUAUUAUUUGAAUCUAGGUUUUAUUCCCUUUUUUCAUUGAACAGGGAUAUAGAAGUAGGUGCCUAUGAAUGCCCUGUCUGACAGUAAUUUGAAAGUCUUUAAGAGGGAACAAAGAAAAUGAUGAGGGAGAAUAUAAACUGGUCAAGUGGUGUUUGCAUACUCAAGUUUCUGAGAUGGAGCGUACAUAGCAGAGAGGUCACUUUGAGUAAGGGGAGAAAAACAUCCAGAUGUGUGAACACUUUGCUGAUAUCCUUAGUAUUUGAAAUGGGGGAAUUUAGUGACUUUGUAUUGAAUAAAAAGAAGAUAUACAUAUAUCUGAAAAUAGUUCAGCAUACAGUUUUCUGUUGCUAUUUAAUAAAAAUCUAAUAAUAUUUUAGAUGAUUUCUUCACUUCUAAGGCAGUUUUUCUCAUUUUGUAAUAAAUCAUGUUCUUUGUUGCUAAGUUCAUAAAAUUAAAUCUAAAAUAUUAUGGAGAGAUAAUUAUUUAAAAACAUCUGAAUAUUUUUCUUAAAGAUAUAUAACCAUCCUUUUCUAUUUCAAAUAUUUUAGAAAUGGUUAAUUUGGUUUUGUACAAAUUCUUCUCUUGGCUAAAGUUAGCAUGUUUUUCACAUGAAAAGUUAAUAAUUUAGAUGACAACAUUGAAAAUAAAGACCUCUUAAGGAAAGUGACCCAUGUAGGUUCCAUAGUACUUGCUCCUAAAAUUUUUUAAUACAUAUAUAUUUCCUUUGUGUUUGAGUGUACUAUUU